RNAcentral lists this ribosomal RNA (575 nucleotides) under uncultured bacterium. RNAcentral describes it as "partial 16S ribosomal RNA". It matches the Rfam family "Bacterial small subunit ribosomal RNA", at positions 355 to 920 of the family's 1533-position model. The record is from RNAcentral.
UGGGGAAUAUUGCACAAUGGGCGCAAGCCUGAUGCAGCCAUGCCGCGUGUGUGAAGAAGGCCUUCGGGUUGUAAAGCACUUUCAGCGAGGAGGAAGGUGGUGAACUUAAUACGUUCAUCAAUUGACGUUACUCGCAGAAGAAGCACCGGCUAACUCCGUGCCAGCAGCCGCGGUAAUACGGAGGGUGCAAGCGUUAAUCGGAAUUACUGGGCGUAAAGCGCACGCAGGCGGUUUGUUAAGUCAGAUGUGAAAUCCCCGGGCUCAACCUGGGAACUGCAUUUGAAACUGGCAAGCUAGAGUCUCGUAGAGGGGGGUAGAAUUCCAGGUGUAGCGGUGAAAUGCGUAGAGAUCUGGAGGAAUACCGGUGGCGAAGGCGGCCCCCUGGACGAAGACUGACGCUCAGGUGCGAAAGCGUGGGGAGCAAACAGGAUUAGAUACCCCUGGUAGUCCACGCUGUAAACGAUGUCGAUUUUGGAGGUUGUGCCCUUGAGGCGUGGCUUCCGGAGCUAACGCGUUAAAUCGACCGCCUGGGGAGUACGGCCGCAAGGUUAAAACUCAAAUGAAUUGACGGGGUC